RNAcentral lists this ribosomal RNA (1050 nucleotides) under Triticum aestivum (bread wheat). RNAcentral's name for it is "partial small subunit ribosomal RNA". The record is from RNAcentral. Lineage: Eukaryota; Viridiplantae; Streptophyta; Magnoliopsida; Poales; Poaceae.
AUGCGUCCGGCCGGCGGCAGCCUCCCGGCCCAGCCGGGCACGCCGGGCCGCCCGCGCCGCCGCCCGGAUCUCACCCUCCCGAUGCCGCAGCGCCCGGACGUCUCCUCCUCGCUCGCCGUCCCGCUCCCGCUCCCGCCCCCGACCGCCGCUCCCCCCACCGGCGCCGGCCCCGCCCAGCCGCUCGUGGCGCCGCCCGCGGCCGCCCCGCCCCCGCCCCCGCUCCACGAGCUGGAGCGCGUGCGCCGGGUCGGCAGCGGCGCGGGCGGCACCGUGUGGAUGGUGCGGCACCGCGCCACGGGCCGCUGCUACGCGCUCAAGGUGCUCUACGGGAACCACGACGACGCGGUGCGGCGCCAGAUCGCGCGGGAGAUCGCCAUCCUGCGCACCGCCGAGCACCCGGCCGUCGUGCGCUGCCACGGCAUGUACGAGCGCGGCGGCGAGCUGCAGAUCCUGCUCGAGUACAUGGACGGCGGCUCCCUCGACGGCCGCCGCAUCGCCGACGAGCCCUUCCUGGCGCACGUGGCGCGCCAGGUGCUCUCCGGCAUCGCGUACCUCCACCGCCGCCACAUCGUGCACCGCGACAUCAAGCCCUCCAACCUGCUCAUCGACUCGGCGCGCCGCGUCAAGAUCGCCGACUUCGGGGUGGGCCGCAUCCUGAACCAGACCAUGGACCCCUGCAACUCCUCCGUCGGCACCAUCGCCUACAUGAGCCCCGAGCGCAUCAACACCGACAUCAACGACGGCGCCUACGACGGCUACGCCGGCGACAUCUGGAGCUUCGGCCUCAGCAUCCUCGAGUUCUACCUCGGCAGGUUCCCCUUCGGCGAGAACCUCGGCCGCCAGGGCGACUGGGCCGCGCUCAUGGUCGCCAUCUGCUACUCCGACCCGCCCGAGCCGUCCCCCGCCACUGCCUCGCCCGAGUUCCGGGGCUUCAUCGCCUGCUGCCUGCAGAAGAACCCCGCCAACCGCCUCUCCGCCGCGCAGCUGCUGCAGCACCCCUUCGUCGCCUUGCCGCAGCCGCAGCCGCUCGCCGCCCCGCCGUCAUCGUGA